RNAcentral lists this transfer RNA (71 nucleotides) under Chondromyces crocatus. It matches the Rfam family "tRNA". Rfam says of the family: Transfer RNA (tRNA) molecules are approximately 80 nucleotides in length. The record is from Rfam by way of RNAcentral. Lineage: Bacteria; Pseudomonadati; Myxococcota; Polyangiales; Polyangiaceae.
GCCUUCGUCGCUCCAUGGCAGAGCAUCCGCCCCACGAGCAGGCGGUCCCGGUUCGAUUCCGGACGAAGGCU